UGCCUCGGCGGGGAAUUGAACCCGGGCCGCCGCCCGCGUGGCAGGCGAGCAUUCUACCACUGAACCACCGAUGGU
Molecule: non-coding RNA, 75 nt
Organism: Cordylochernes scorpioides
Lineage: Eukaryota; Metazoa; Arthropoda; Arachnida; Pseudoscorpiones; Chernetidae
Source: the annotation of a GenBank genome assembly